GAUGAACGCUGGCGGCGUGCCUAAUACAUGCAAGUCGAGCGAACAGACGAGGAGCUUGCUCCUCUGACGUUAGCGGCGGACGGGUGAGUAACACGUGGAUAACCUACCUAUAAGACUGGGAUAACUUCGGGAAACCGGAGCUAAUACCGGAUAAUAUAUUGAACCGCAUGGUUCAAUAGUGAAAGACGGUUUUGCUGUCACUUAUAGAUGGAUCCUCGCCGCAUUAGCUAGUUGGUAAGGUAACGGCUUACCAAGGCGACGAUGCGUAGCCGACCUGAGAGGGUGAUCGGCCACACUGGAACGGAGACACGGUCCAGACUCCUACGGGAGGCAGCAGUAGGGAAUCUUCCGCAAUGGGCGAAAGCCUGACGGAGCAACGCCGCGUGAGUGAUGAAGGUCUUCGGAUCGUAAAACUCUGUUAUUAGGGAAGAACAAAUGUGUAAGUAACUAUGCACGUCUUGACGGUACCGAAUCAGAAAGCCACGGCUAACUACGUG
Molecule: ribosomal RNA, 497 nt
Filed under: uncultured bacterium
Lineage: Bacteria
Description: partial 16S ribosomal RNA
Rfam family: Bacterial small subunit ribosomal RNA
Source: RNAcentral